AACGAACGCUGGCGGCAGGCUUAACACAUGCAAGUCGAACGCCCCGCAAGGGGAGUGGCAGACGGGUGAGUAACACGUGGGAACAUACCCUUCGGUUCGGAACAACGUUUGGAAACGAACGCUAAUACCGGAUACGGCUUACGAGCGAAAGAUUCAUCGCCGAAGGAUUGGCCCGCGUUCGAUUAGCUUGUUGGUGAGGUAACGGCUCACCAAGGCGACGAUCGAUAGCUGGUCUGAGAGGAUGGCCAGCCACAUUGGGACUGAGACACGGCCCAAACUCCUACGGGAGGCAGCAGUGGGGAAUAUUGGACAAUGGGCGCAAGCCUGAUCCAGCCAUGCCGCGUGAGUGAUGACGGCCUUAGGGUUGUAAAGCUCUUUCGCACGCGACGAUAAUGACGGUAGCGGAG
This 407-nucleotide ribosomal RNA is filed under the name uncultured bacterium. RNAcentral describes it as "bacterial SSU rRNA". It matches the Rfam family "Bacterial small subunit ribosomal RNA", at positions 29 to 484 of the family's 1533-position model. The record is from RNAcentral.